This is a non-coding RNA of Biomphalaria pfeifferi, 244 nucleotides long. The record is from the annotation of a GenBank genome assembly. Lineage: Eukaryota; Metazoa; Mollusca; Gastropoda; Planorbidae.
CAUUUAAUUUUAAAACAUUGUAUAAAUAAAAUAUUGUAUGUAAUCAGAUAAAUUUAACUUAAUAACCGGAGCUUGUUAUUUUUUUUAAAUUUUCAAUAUUGGAGAAUAGAUCUUCAGUAAAAUUAUUUAAAUCUAAACACAUAUAGAUUGACUUAAUAAAAUAUUUUACUUGUAAACCUAAAAUGUAUGUUUACACCUGAGUGACCUGCAGAGAUUAAACCUGUACAUAGUACAAAAUAAAAUG